GUUUCUGUAGUGUAGUGGUCAUCACGUUUGCCUAACACGCCAAAAUGGUCCCAGGCUCGAAACCUGGCAGAAACA
Non-coding RNA from Fundulus heteroclitus (mummichog), 75 nucleotides. The record is from the annotation of a RefSeq genome assembly. Lineage: Eukaryota; Metazoa; Chordata; Actinopteri; Cyprinodontiformes; Fundulidae.